AAUGAUAAUCAGCUGUUAAUAACAUUUGAAUUUCAGAUCUUGUGUGGUGUUAACCAAGUUUGAGCACCAGCAUUCCUAAUGUGCAUUGGCCAAUAUCCUGUCUUCUGCUCAUAUAUGUCAAUUUUAGCUGUUUUCCAGAUUUCUCAGAUUAGCCCUGAGCUAACAUCCAUGCCAGUCUUCCUCUGUUUCGUAUGUGGGUCACCACCACAGCAUGGCUGAUCCUCUUGCCGAUUCCCUUAAUCUCAGCACUUCAGUCAGUCGGAAGCUGCCACGAGAGGACAAGAUUUUCCUGGCCACAGAUGCUUUUGGAGUUUCCCUUCUACAGAAGAAUUUCAGGCAUUUGUCAGAAAGUCUGGUCUGGAUUUUACUGCACUUUUCUUUCAAAAGACAGAUUAAGACAAUUCAUGUUUGAGAGUUUGAAUUUAAGGCUCUUCUCAACUGCUGUUGCCACAGAAAAGUCUCUUCCUGCUUGGAGUUCUACUGGAAAACUAACCCACCGCGGCUGAGAAACACGAUUGCUGGCAAAGUUUCUCUGCAGCAACACCAGGGAAGCUGUCUCCUCCACAAUGAUGGAUCCAGGAUUGAACAAGAUCAGUACCCUUUGGUCACUUCCGCACAAGAGAAAGAUUUAUUUUCAACUCCAUCUAAUUAUUUUCCGGAACCUAGUUUUGUAGAAUCGUUACUUUGUUAUUUUACGGGAGUAUGCUGGGGGAUGGAGUUUAAACUCCUCUAAAACAAGGAUGCAUGAGAACUAUUUCCUCUGUGGCCUAAUUGUCUAAAUCUGACUUUGGAGUCAAUAUUUUUACUGGAUAUCUAGUGCUUAUCAAAGUCGCUUGCAGCCAAAAUAAAAUGUCAGGCAAAGGCAUACAUUUUACUGCUAGAAAUUCAAGAUUUCAUAGGAUUUUUGUGAUAUGUAUCUCUUCAAGGUACAGUUUGACAGAAAUUAAAUUAAAUCUGCCAUGUCAAAUAAAUCCUGAGGAUGGAAAAAUUACAGAUAAUUUUUAAUGUUUGAUACAGAUAUGUUCUUCUCUAGCAGUCAAUACCUCAGUCAAAGUAAAUAAAUAACUUCAAAGAUUAUGUGGGAUCAGAAUUGUUUUCAGUAAAAGACGCCAUUAAAGUUAAUGACAACAAAGUCAUAAUGGAAUAAAUAUUACAACUGGAAAAUGAUUAAAAUUCUCCAAGUGGGCUUCGUAAAUUACAAUGUUAAUGUAAAAAUGAGUGGUAUUUACUAUUUUGUUUAUUAAAAAUCUUCCACUUUUAGUAGACAAUGUGUUUGUUAGAUUUUUUGUGAUAUAUCAUAAACUAUAUUAGGUUAGAAUAACCAAAAUAUCAUCAUAUGAGACUUUUAAUUUUGCAGAAUAUAAGGAGUAAUUACAAAAGGAAAUCUAGA
This 1390-nucleotide long non-coding RNA is filed under the name Equus caballus (horse). Its description in RNAcentral is "lncRNA (ENSECAG00000031176.3)". The record is from RNAcentral. Lineage: Eukaryota; Metazoa; Chordata; Mammalia; Perissodactyla; Equidae.